GGCCGAGUGCGGGUCAGACUCAAGGCGAACUCGCCUCCUCCAUGUGAAAGAGAGCAAACAUUACAGCUUUGGACCAAGAAAAAAUCUAUUUUGUUGGUCGCUGCGGUGCUUGGACUGCUCCCAUUCUGGCCAGUCUUCGCUCAGCCUGUGGGAAGUGACAGCAUGGUUGAUGGAUGGUACAAAGACAUCCAGCAGAGAGAAACAGGCGAGGAAACUGGACACCAGUACACAGCUUGGAGCACAGCAAGACACUCAGGGAAGGGGAGGGAGAGGGUCUGUCCAACUCUGAGCCCCUCAAACACUCAGCAACAACAGCGCCGCAACUUCAGCGAUGAACUUUUGAGACAAACCAGCCAUUGCUUCACAUUUGGAGCAGAAACUAAAUGAGUCAUCUGAUGGCUUUAGUGUUAGGUUUGCUUUCUACGCAGUUUUACAUAAAGCCAGUAAGAAAUGGUCUAAAGUG
This is a long non-coding RNA of Xiphophorus hellerii (green swordtail), 463 nucleotides long. RefSeq lists it as uncharacterized. The transcript has 2 exons. Lineage: Eukaryota; Metazoa; Chordata; Actinopteri; Cyprinodontiformes; Poeciliidae. The record is from RefSeq and is a predicted model, not a curated record.